GAUGAACGCUGGCGGCGUGCCUAAUACAUGCAAGUCGAGCGAACAGACGAGGCGCUUGCUCCUCUGACGUUAGCGGCGGACGGGUGAGUCACACGUGGAUAACCUACCUAUCAGACUGGGAUAACUUCGGGACACCGGCGCUAAUACCGGAUAAUCUAUUGAACCGCAUGGUUCAAUAGUGAAAGACGGCUUUGCUGUCACUUAUCGAUGGAUCCGCGCCGCAUUAGCUAGUUGGUAAGGUAACGGCUUAUCAAGGCAACUAUGCGUAUCCGACCUGAUAGAGUGGUCGGCCACAUUGGAGCUGAGACACGGACCAGACUCCUAAGAGAGGCAGCAGUAGGGAAUCGUCCGCAAUGGGCGAAAGCCUUACGGAGCAACGCCGCGUGAGUGAUGAAGGUCUUCGGAGCGUAAAACUCUGUUAUUAGGGAAGAACAAAUGUGGAAGUAACUAUGCACGUCUUGACGGUACCUAGUCAGGAAGCCACGGCUAACUACGUG
Molecule: ribosomal RNA, 497 nt
Filed under: uncultured bacterium
Lineage: Bacteria
Description: partial 16S ribosomal RNA
Rfam family: Bacterial small subunit ribosomal RNA
Source: RNAcentral